GAACGCACAUUGCGCCCCUUGGUAUUCCAUGGGGCAUGCCUGUUCGAGCGUCAUUUGUACCCUCAAGCUCUGCUUGGUGUUGGGUGUUUGUCCACUCCCUGGUGUUUGGACUCGCCUUAAAGCAAUUGGCAGCCAGUGUUUUGGUAUUGAAGCGCAGCACAUUUUGCGAUUCUAGCCUGAAAUACUAGCAUCCAGCAAGUCAUUUUCACUUUUGACCUCGGAUCAGGUAGGGAUACCCGCUGAACUUAA
Molecule: unclassified non-coding RNA, 249 nt
Filed under: uncultured fungus
Lineage: Eukaryota; Fungi
Description: partial contains 5.8S ribosomal RNA, internal transcribed spacer 2, and large subunit ribosomal RNA
Rfam family: 5.8S ribosomal RNA (bases 1-53)
Source: RNAcentral